GUCCUUGUAGCGCAGUGGUUAGCAUCUGGAGUUCUUAGCAUUUGAUUUUCUAAUUUUCUUUCCAGCGAAUACCUAAGGCAGCGGAAGACGUCGGUUCGAUUCCGACCGGGGACA
This is a non-coding RNA of Podospora fimiseda, 114 nucleotides long. NCBI's taxonomy places the organism in Eukaryota, Fungi, Ascomycota, Sordariomycetes, Sordariales, Podosporaceae. The record is from the annotation of a GenBank genome assembly.